Molecule: long non-coding RNA, 294 nt
Filed under: Zonotrichia albicollis (white-throated sparrow)
Lineage: Eukaryota; Metazoa; Chordata; Aves; Passeriformes; Passerellidae
Description: lncRNA (ENSZALG00000011289.1)
Source: RNAcentral
CUAUUUUCUACCACAAUCAGUAUUACCUUCUUUUUAUUUCCAGGCCUUAUCAAGGGGACAAAUGCAGAGUCUGCUGUUUACAGGCACCUGGUUUCAGAAGAGUUUCUUCUUCCAAUCCUACUCUUGAGAUGGGUAUAAGUGCACAUGCACAGUGUUACACUCCCAGUGUUUGCUUUGGAGAGUCAGUUCUGAAACGAAGAACAUCUUUGGACCUGCCUUUCUGAUCUCUGUGUGAAUCACUGAACACUCCCCAAUAAAGAGUUGUAGAGGAGGAUCUGCUCACUGCUUUAUCUC